Molecule: transfer RNA, 91 nt
Filed under: Erwinia rhapontici
Lineage: Bacteria; Pseudomonadati; Pseudomonadota; Gammaproteobacteria; Enterobacterales; Erwiniaceae
Description: tRNA-OTHER
Rfam family: transfer-messenger RNA
About the family: Bacterial tmRNA, also known as 10Sa RNA or SsrA, is named for its dual tRNA and mRNA-like properties. Its role is to liberate the mRNA from a stalled ribosome.
Source: RNAcentral
AGCUGACCGGCGAAUGUAAAGAUGGACUAAGCAUGUAGUGCCGACGGUGUAGUAAUUCUGGACGCGGGUUCAACUCCCGCCAGCUCCACCA